This 1358-nucleotide ribosomal RNA is filed under the name uncultured bacterium. RNAcentral's name for it is "bacterial SSU rRNA". It matches the Rfam family "Bacterial small subunit ribosomal RNA", at positions 28 to 1381 of the family's 1533-position model. The record is from RNAcentral.
AUUGAACGCUGGCGGCAGGCUUAACACAUGCAAGUCGAGCGGAGAUGAGGUGCUUGCACCUUAUCUUAGCGGCGGACGGGUGAGUAAUGCUUAGGAAUCUGCCAUUUAGUGGGGGACAACAUUCCGAAAGGGAUGCUAAUACCGCAUACGUCCUACGGGAGAAAGCAGGGGAUCUUCGGACCUUGCGCUAAAUGAUGAGCCUAAGUCGGAUUAGCUAGUUGGUGGGGUAAAGGCCUACCAAGGCGACGAUCUGUAGCGGGUCUGAGAGGAUGAUCCGCCACACUGGGACUGAGACACGGCCCAGACUCCUACGGGGGGCAGCAGUGGGGAAUAUUGGACAAUGGGCGGAAGCCUGAUCCAGCCAUGCCGCGUGUGUGAAGAAGGCCUUUUGGUUGUAAAGCACUUUAAGCGAGGAGGAGGCUACCUGGAUUAAUACUCUGGGAUAGUGGACGUUACUCGCAGAAUAAGCACCGGCUAACUCUGUGCCAGCAGCCGCGGUAAUACAGAGGGUGCGAGCGUUAAUCGGAUUUACUGGGCGUAAAGCGUGCGUAGGCGGCUUUUUAAGUCGGAUGUGAAAUCCCCGAGCUUAACUUGGGAAUUGCAUUCGAUACUGGGAAGCUAGAGUAUGGGAGAGGAUGGUAGAAUUCCAGGUGUAGCGGUGAAAUGCGUAGAGAUCUGGAGGAAUACCGAUGGCGAAGGCAGCCAUCUGGCCUAAUACUGACGCUGAGGUACGAAAGCAUGGGGAGCAAACAGGAUUAGAUACCCUGGUAGUCCAUGCCGUAAACGAUGUCCACUAGCCGUUGGGGCCUUUGAGGCUUUAGUGGCGCAGCUAACGCGAUAAGUAGACCGCCUGGGGAGUACGGUCGCAAGACUAAAACUCAAAUGAAUUGACGGGGGCCCGCACAAGCGGUGGAGCAUGUGGUUUAAUUCGAUGCAACGCGAAGAACCUUACCUGGCCUUGACAUACUAGAAACUUUCCAGAGAUGGAUUGGUGCCUUCGGGAAUCUAGAUACAGGUGCUGCAUGGCUGUCGUCAGCUCGUGUCGUGCGAUGUUGGGUUAAGUCCCGCAACGAGCGCAACCCUUUUCCUUACUUGCCAGCAUUUCGGAUGGGAACUUUAAGGAUACUGCCAGUGACAAACUGGAGGAAGGCGGGGACGACGUCAAGUCAUCAUGGCCCUUACGGCCAGGGCUACACACGUGCUACAAUGGUCGGUACAAAGGGUUGCUACACAGCGGUGUGAUGCUAAUCUCAAAAAGCCGAUCGUAGUCCGGAUUGGAGUCUGCAACUCGACUCCAUGAAGUCGGAAUCGCUAGUAAUCGCGGAUCAGAAUGCCGCGGUGAAUACGUUCCCGGGCCU